GUGGGGAAUAUUGGACAAUGGGCGAAAGCCUGAUCCAGCCAUGCCGCGUGUGUGAAGAAGGUCUUCGGAUUGUAAAGCACUUUAAGUUGGGAGGAAGGGUAGUAACCUAAUACGUUGCUACUUUGACGUUACCGACAGAAUAAGCACCGGCUAACUUCGUGCCAGCAGCCGCGGUAAUACGAAGGGUGUAAGCGUUAAUCGGAAUUACUGGGCGUAAAGCGCGCGUAGGUGGUUUUGUAAGUUGGAGGUGAAAUCCCCGGGCUCAACCUGGGAACUGCAUCCAAAACUGCAUGACUAGAGUACGGUAGAGGGUAGUGGAAUUUCCUGUGUAGCGGUGAAAUGCGUAGAUAUAGGAAGGAACACCAGUGGCGAAGGCGACUACCUGGACUGAUACUGACACUGAGGUGCGAAAGCGUGGGGAGCAAACAGGAUUAGAUACCCCUGUAGUCC
This 450-nucleotide ribosomal RNA is filed under the name uncultured bacterium. Its description in RNAcentral is "partial 16S ribosomal RNA". It matches the Rfam family "Bacterial small subunit ribosomal RNA", at positions 354 to 796 of the family's 1533-position model. The record is from RNAcentral.